UAAGGAAUAUUGGACAAUGGAGGCAACUCUGAUCCAGCCAUGCCGCGUGAAGGAAUAAGGCCCUAUGGGUUGUAAACUUCUUUUAGACGGGACAAAACCCCUUUACGUGUAAAGGGUUGAUGGUACUGUCAGAAUAAGCAUCGGCUAACUUCGUGCCAGCAGCCGCGGUAAUACGAAGGAUGCAAGCGUUAUCCGGAAUUAUUGGGUUUAAAGGGUGCGUAGGCGGACUAAUAAGUCAGUGGUGAAAGCCUGCAGCUUAACUGCAGAAUUGCCAUUGAUACUGUUAGUCUUGAGUACAGUUGAGGUAGGCGGAAUGUGUCAUGUAGCGGUGAAAUGCUUAGAUAUGACACAGAACACCGAUUGCGAAGGCAGCUUGCUAAGCUAUAACUGACGCUGAGGCACGAAAGCGUGGGGAGCAAACA
This 422-nucleotide ribosomal RNA is filed under the name uncultured bacterium. RNAcentral's name for it is "bacterial SSU rRNA". It matches the Rfam family "Bacterial small subunit ribosomal RNA", at positions 355 to 774 of the family's 1533-position model. The record is from RNAcentral.